RNAcentral lists this transfer RNA (73 nucleotides) under Entomophthora muscae. Its description in RNAcentral is "tRNA-Lys". It matches the Rfam family "tRNA". Rfam says of the family: Transfer RNA (tRNA) molecules are approximately 80 nucleotides in length. Their secondary structure includes four short double-helical elements and three loops (D, anti-codon, and T loops). Further hydrogen bonds mediate the characteristic L-shaped molecular structure. tRNAs have two regions of fundamental functional importance: the anti-codon, which is responsible for specific mRNA codon recognition, and the 3' end, to which the tRNAs corresponding amino acid is attached (by aminoacyl-tRNA synthetases). tRNAs cope with the degeneracy of the genetic code in two manners: having more than one tRNA (with a specific anti-codon) for a particular amino acid; and 'wobble' base-pairing, i.e. permitting non-standard base-pairing at the 3rd anti-codon position. Lineage: Eukaryota; Fungi; Entomophthoromycota; Entomophthoromycetes; Entomophthorales; Entomophthoraceae. The record is from RNAcentral.
GCCCGGCUAGCUCAAUCGGCAGAGCGUGAGACUCUUAAUCUCAAGGUUGCGGGUUCGACGCCCGCGUUGGGCU